CUCUACUAUUAUCUAGUAUUACUAUAUUUUUCCAUUAACAUAAAAAAGCGUAUUCUUUCUCAUUUUUAUUGAAUAAAUAAAAGUAAGAAAUAAGCAAAAUUUUCAUUUUUAUCUAUUUUCAAUUGAAUUUAAAUUGUAAAAAAAAAAACUUCAUAAAAGAUUAGGAAAAGUAAAAGUAUAUGAUAUAGAAACCUAUAAUAUAAAUGAAUACAAAUAAAAACAAACAAAUCGAACCAAACUAUAAAAAGUACUUGUUAUUUUUAAAGUUUAAAGAAACUAUGUAAGGCAAAUAGUACUAAAUAAAAAAAGGAGCAAUAACGCCCUCUUGUUUUAUCAAGAGGGAAGCUAUUGCUCCUUUUUUAGUUCAAAAACUCCUAUACAAUCAGACCAAAGUC
RNAcentral lists this unclassified non-coding RNA (395 nucleotides) under Helianthus divaricatus. RNAcentral describes it as "partial trnH-psbA intergenic spacer". Lineage: Eukaryota; Viridiplantae; Streptophyta; Magnoliopsida; Asterales; Asteraceae. The record is from RNAcentral.